Molecule: RNA transcript, 9068 nt
Organism: Dama dama (fallow deer)
Lineage: Eukaryota; Metazoa; Chordata; Mammalia; Artiodactyla; Cervidae
Gene name: lysine-specific demethylase 4D-like
Exons: 4
Source: RefSeq, a predicted model, not a curated record
GGGGCUGAAACUGUCCAGGGGGCGGGCAUUUGAAAUCCGUCGUUUGGAGUAGACUGUGAACGUCGGUUUGUACCUUCGAGAGCCAGUUAAUGUCUCUUCCGUCUUUUCCUUUCCCGACUCCCUCCCAGAUUCCUUCAUUCCGGUACUGCGUGAACGGAGAGCCGCGGGUAGCCGACACCAAACACCCGGCUAGCGAGAGAGCAUAGAAAAGGAUUACACCAAACUGUUUAAAAUCCAACGGCUCCUGCUUCCUUUCUCCUGAUCUAGACCCAACAAGCCUAGAGAGUUGGGCUACGGAAAGUAGUAUUUGCAUUUAAUUGGAUAUGAAGAAAGAACAAAUAUGUACGGGGGCAACCACGAUCUUUAUAAAGAACAUAAGUUCCAGGACAGCAGAAACCUUGUCUUUCUUGUUCACUGGUGUAUCCUCUGCAUAUAGAACAGUGCCUGGCACAUAAUAGGUGCUGAGAAUGGAUAAUCAUCUGACUUCCCUGAGAAAAUAGAAGCUGUUUUUCUCAGAGGACUCCUCAUCUCUCCCCAGCAGAUGUACUGAGCUGCUUUUGACUGUGACCUUACAUUGAGCUUUCCGUGUAUUAGAAGACGUGAACACACUGUUAGAUGCUUUGGAUACCGGAGAGAUGCUUUCCCAGCAGUAACCUCAAGAUGAAAUUUGCUGAUGCUCCAGACUAGAUUACUGGACCAUAUUAUAGUUUAAUCACCUCUUACUUAAUCUGAGCACUUUGCUGCUUCACUAGCUAACCAGUCUGUUAUUAAUUAGACAAUUAAAAACAAACAUUAAGAAACAGUUAAACAACUAAAAUACAGAAAAUGAAGGCUAGAAAAAGAUAUGCCAGGCAAAUUCUAAGCAACAACAAUAAAGAACUUCAUGUACCAAUAUUAAUUAUAAAAAGUAUUCUUUAGCAUUAAUAAGGAAACUUACGUGAACAUCAUAUUGCAUCACAGAUAUCUGUGAUAUUAACAAAUUAACAUUGAUACACAGAAGAUUGUAGAAUGUAUGCUUAUUGCAUUUAUAUAUGCAUAUAUAUUUAUAUGUUGCAUUUAUAUUUGCAUAUAAAAUCCUUUAACCAAAAAAGAGAAUACACAUUCUUUUUGAUAAACAAUGAAUAUGUACAAAAUUUAAUCAAGUAUAAAGUCCCUGAAUAAAUUUCAAUAAAUGUCUAUGUAUUAUUUUUAAAUGAUAGUAUUUAAUCUUGCCAAUUUUUUAACUUUAUAUAAAUGAAUCAUAUAUGUUUUUUGGUGUUUUGUUCCUUAAUGUCUAUUAUGUGUAGCUGUGGUAUAAUAUAUAGAAUUUCACUGCAUAAAAAUGCAUCCUAUAACUUAUUUUAAUGGUUAUGUCUUCAGUGUAUUAUAAAUAAUGCCACCUUGAACAUUGUUGGAAAUGUGCAGAGCUGUAUGUGUAUACUUUUCAUAUAUAUAUAUAUAUAUCUCCCAUCAUCAAGGUAAGAAUUCUCCCUGUCUCAUAAUCCCACUUGAUACUGUACCCUUGGUACUGUCCAGCUUUUCCAUUUGCCUCCUCUGGUGAGUGCGUAGUGACAUCUUCCUGGGGUCUUAAUUUACACUUCCUUGAGCACUGAUUUCCUUUCAUGUGUUUAUUGUUCAUUUGGAUUUCUUUUGGGAGGCAUCUGUCCAGUCGGCUGAAAUGUUUUUUCUUGUUGAUUCUAUGACUUCUUAAUACUCUGGGCAACAGUUCUCUGUCACUUAUUUGUGUUGUACAUAAAUUUUUCGUUCUUUUUCACAAGGCGCUUUAUGUAGCAAUAUUAUCAAAUGCAUUCUUUAAGUAGUGUAGCAUUAACAAGGACACAAAUAUAGGCAUCUUACUGCAUCACAGAAAUCCACUAGGAAAUUAACUCCAAAUUAACAACAUUGAUACACAGAAACAAUAUGUGUAUAGACAUGUAUGCUUAUUGCAUUUGGCUUUUUGGUAUAUUUUAAUAUAUAAAAAUUAAUACCAGAGCAGUUCAUUUUAUUAAUUUUUUUUUUCCUUUUUGCUUAGUGCAUGGUAUUUCUUGGUUAAAAACUUCUUCCCUGGAGAAGGAAGUGACAACCCACUCCAGUAUUCUUGCCUGGAAAAGUCCAUGGACAGAGGAGCCUGGCGGGCUGAAGUCCAUGGGGUUACAUGACUGAGCAUGUGUGCACGAGGGUGGAGGGAGAUGGGUUGGUAGCAAUAAAGUGGUAGAACUAAAAAAAAAAAAAAAAAAAAAUUCUUCCCUACUUUGAGAUUACAUUGAUGUUCUCAGAUAUUAUCUUCUGAAAGUUUUAUGGUUGGGCCUUUCACAGUGCUACUAGGAAUUCAUUUUUGUAUAUGGUAUAAUAGAAGAGUCUUAGAAUCUGAUAAAGCAAGUCUUCUCACCUUGUCCUUUUAUGAGUGCUUUGCUAUUCUGUGUCUUUUGCACUUAAAAUUUAAGUUGUCUUAUUCUACGAAAAUACUUUUGGGAUUUUGAUGGGGAUAAUGUUGAAUCUAUAGAUAAGUUUAAAACCUGAUGUUUACAAAAUUGAGUCUUCAAAUCUAUUAUCAGGUUAUGUCUUUUCCAUUUAUUUAAGUCUUCUUUAAGUUCCCUUAAGUAAAUUUAUAUUAUCUUCAUAGAAGUCUUGCAGAUUUUUGUUAGCUUUAGCCUUGGAUACUGUUUAAUUUUUAAUGCUAUUGUAAAUGGCAUCUUUCUUAAAUUUUAGUUGUCUAAUUGUUAGUUGCUGGUAUAUAUAAAGAUAAUUGUUUUUUAUAUAUUGCUGUUUUAAAUUCAGAGACUGAGCACUUUUAUUAAUUAAGAUGGUUCUUUCAUAGAUCUCUUGGACUUUUUACAUACAGUCAUUUCUAGGAAUAAUAGUUUCUUUUCUCCCCCUCCCCCUUUCCCUUUUUUCCUUGACUUCUUACAUUGCGUAAGACAUCCAGGACAUACUGAAUAAAACAGGUGGUCACAGGCAUCCUUGUCUUUUUCCUGCUUUGAAGGAGAAAACUUUGAACUUUUAAUUAUUAAGUGUGAUGUUUACUGAAGGUUUGGGGUGGAUGUACUUUAUUCAGUUAGAAAUUUCCCUCCAAUUUAUAGUUGGCUAAAUGAAUGGCAGAUUUUUAUCAAAUACUUCUCUGCAUCUAGUAAGAUUAUUUUUUAAUCUUAGUGUGUGUUGUUAUAUUAAUUUAUUUAAGUAUCAACUAACCUUUCAUUCCUGGAAUCAACCCAUCUUGGUCAUGAUGAAUAUAUUGUAGGGAUCAGUUUACUCAGUUUGUAUUUAGGACUUUUGCAUCUAUGCUUAUCAGUGAGAUUAGCCUUUUAUUUUCCUUUCUCAAAAUGUUCUUGUUGGAGACAUGUACAUACAGUUUGUAUCAUAAAAUUUUUGGGGAAAUAGUCUUUCUUUUUCUCUUCUUCAGGAAAAUUUGUCUAAGAUUGAAAUUAUGUCUUCUUUGAAUAUUUGGUAAAAGCUGCUGGUGUAACCAUUUAUAGAGUUUUCUUUGGGAAAAGAGUUUUGAUUGCUGCUUCAGUUUCUUUGCUGGUUAUGGAUAUACUCAGCAUUCUGUUGCUUUUUGUGUCGAUUUUGCUAUUUAUAUUUUUCUAGGAGUUUUUUCAUCUGAACUUUAAAGUAUGUCGGCUUAAAGUUGUUUUUACUGUCUUUACUUUCUUUUUAUGUCUGCAGCGUCUGUAGCGAUGACUUCUUUGUCUCUCCUAAUGUUGAUUAUUUGUGCCUUCUGCUUGUCUUUACCAUUUGUUUGUUGGUUUUAUUAGACGUUUCGCAAAGAAAACUACCAUUGGUUUUGUUCAUCCUCUUUAUAUUGGUUUUCUUUUUCAUCAGUUUCUGGUCUUAUUUUUACUAUUUCCUUUGUUCACUUUCUUUGCUGUACUUCUGACUUUCUGCAGUGGAUGCUGAGUUCAUUUAAUUUUCCAGUCCUUUUUCUUUUCUUAGAUAUUUAUUUAAGCCUAUAAAUCUUCCUUUUAAUACUGUUCACUAGUAUCCCUCUAGAUUUGAAAUGUAGGAUAUUCAUUUCUUUAGGAUUUCAUUUACUUUAAAGUAUUUUCUAAUUUUAUUUUUACUUCUUUAUGAUUACAAGUUUUAUUUAGAAAUGUAUUUUUAAUUUUACAAAAUAUAGAGCUUUCACUAUCAUUUUAAUAUUAAUUUUUAACUUUAUUGUUUUGUGGUUAGAGGACACAUUCUGCCUACUUUGACAUUUGUUAAAACUUGUUUUAUGGCCAGAGUUUUAUAGUCAAUUUUGCAAAAUUUCCAUAGUACUCAAAAAAAUCAUAUUCUGCAGUUUGGGAGACAGAAUAGAUCCCUACCUCUAACAAAAAUGUUCUAAAUGGUUGAAACAAAUAAAUAUGAAAAAGAGAAACUAAAACAAAAUCUUUGCUACGCUAAAAUAAGUGGAUACUUUAACAAGAGAUAAGGAAACAAACCAUAAAGGAAAAUAGUAAUAAAUUAGGCUACAUUUAAAUUUUGAAAACACCUGAAAAAUACACCAUAAACAGAUUGAAAUGGAGGUGGUGCCUAGGAUAAGAUAUUUCAAAUCUUACAAUAGACGUAGAAUUAGUAUCUCAAACAUUUAAACAUUUAAAGAACUUUGACAAAUCAAUAAAGGAAAACACUGAAAAAAUGGGCAAAGGACAUAAUGUAAUUGUCAAAACCCACAAAAAGUCAAUAAAUCAAUGAAAACGCAUGAGUCACACAACAUUAAUAUUAACAAAAGUAUAAAGGUGAUAAAUUACUUUGCCAAUCCAAUCACCAACAACUAAAAAUUUGACAUUAUCAAAUAUAUCUGGGGAUACAGAGAAAUAAACUCUCCUACUCUGCUAGUGACUGUGUUAAUUAGGAAAAUCCACAGGUAAGCAACUUGACAUUGCCUAAUAAACUACAAAGUAUAGUUUCUAUAUCAUUAAAAAACAAGACCAAAAUAUCGAAGCUAAAUAAAUUCUCACAUGUAAUUACUAAGACACAUGUAAGAGUUUUAAUGCAGCAUUGUUUACAAUAAAAAACAGUAAUAAUAUUCAUCAAAAGAGAAAUGCAUUAAAAAUUUUUUAUGACCCGCUAUAUAUGUACAUAGAUAAAUGCAUCUUGAAGCUGUUAAUGUUGAAUUUAAAAAUUACAAAAAUUAGUAUAUUUGGUAUAAAAUCACUUAUACAAAAUAAAAAUAGCAAACACACGAAACAAUACUGUAUAUGUGGACACACAGCAGACACAUGUGCAUGUGUGCUCAGUUGCUCAGUCAUGGCCAACUCUUUGUGAUCCCAUGGACUGUAGCCUGCCAGUCCAUGGAUUGUCCAUGGACAGUCUUCUUUGUUAAUGGGAUUAUCUCAGCAGGAAUACCGCAGUGGGGAGCCAUUUCCUACUUCAGGGAAUCUUCCUGACCCAGGGAUCAUUACUGCAUCUCCUGUGUUGGAAGGUGGAUUCUUUACCACUGAACCACCUGGACACACACACAAAAGACAUCCACAGAUAGAAAAUGAACCAAAUUCACUAUAGCUGUUGUUUUGGGGUUGGGGAGGAGAAGGAGAUUAGGAUUUGGGAUUUAAAUCUGAAAGGGAUUUCCAGUUCAUCUGAAGUAUUUAUUCUAUUUAAAAAUACUUGAACCAGGAAGAAGACCCUUUAGGAUGUCUGUUCAGCAUUACAUUGGAGAUUCUAGUCAAGGCAGUUAGGUAAGAAAAAAAAAAAAAUAAAAGUUAUCCAACUUGAAAGAAAUAAAACUAUCUUUAUUGACAGCUUGAUUUUAUAUAGAGAAAAUCUUAGGGAAUGACUAAACUACUACAGCAAAUAAGUUCAACAAGAUUGCAGGAUACACAGGAUAAAUAUACAUAAAUCAGUUGAUUUCUAUACACCAGCAAGAUCUGAAAAUUAAAACAUUCCAUUAACAAUAUCAUCAAAAAGAAUAAAAUGUUUAAGAACAAAUUCAACAAAAAAGAUAUAAGACUUCUACACUGGAAACUACAAAACAUUGUUAAAGAAGAUCUAAAUGGAAAAACAUUCCAUAUUCAUUGAUCAGAAAAUGGUAUUGUUAAGAUGUCAAUACUCCCCCGAUUGUUCUAUGGGUCCAGUGCAUUCCCUAUUGAAAUUCCUGCUGGCUUUUUUCCCCCAGGAAAAAAAGUUUAUCCUGAAAAAGGUAUAUAAGUACUAAAGACCCAAAAUAGCCAAAACAGUCUUGAAAAAUAAAAAAAAAUUUGGAGAACUCAUACUUCCCCAUUUCAAAACUUCACUGCAAAGUUUCAAUUAUCAAGCCAUUGUUAUAGGGACAGCUAUAUAUAGUUUGAUGACUAACUGUAAACUUGAAUAGGAUCAACAAAACUUUCAAGACAUUUCAACAGUGAAAGAAUAAUCUUUUCAAUGCGUUGUUGCUGGAAUAAUGGAUAUCCUUAAACAAAAGUCUGAAUCUGGAUUCCUCCUUCACACCAUAUUUGGAGAAGGAAAUGGCAAUCUUCUCCAGUACUCUUGCCUGGAAAAUCCCAUGGACAGAGGAGCCUGGCAGACUACAGUCCAUGGGGUCGCAAAGAGUCAGACACGACUAAGCGAGUUCACUUUCACUUUUUUCACCUCACACCAUACACAAAAACUAAGUCAAAGUUAAUCAUAGACCUAAAUGUAAGCUAAAACUAUCAAACUCUUAAAACAUAGAAAUGUAUCUCCAUGAUCUUGAGCUAGGCAAUAAUUUCUUAGCUAAAACACCAAAGGCAUAAGCGAUAAAACUGAUGGAUUCAUCAAAAUUCAAAACUCGUGCACUUCAAAAGAUGGCAGUUAAGAAGGUGAAAAGAUAAUCACAGACUGGGAGAAAAUAUUUGCAAAUCAUAUAUUCAAAAAAGAACUUAUAAUCAGGACAUAUAAAGAUCUCUUGCAACUCAAUUAAUUAUAACACAUGCAAAUAUGAGCAAAGGAUUUGAAUAGAAAUUUCUUCAAAAAAGAUAUAUGAAUGGCCAAUAAGCAUAGUGACAAAUGCUCAACAUCAUACGUUGUUAAGGAAAUGCAAAUCAAAGUGAGAUACAACAUCUUACUAAAGUGCUAUAAACAAAAAAGACAAUUACAGAUAUUGGUGAGGUUCCAAUUGAAGAAUUGGAACUGUCAUAUAUGGUUGAUAGAAACUGAAAAUGUUGCAGGCACUUUGGAAAAAUAGUAUAGCAGUUUCUCAAAAUGUUAAACAUAGGGUUAGUAUCAUCGUUCAGUUGCUCAGUUGUGUCUCACUCUUUGUGACCCCAUGGACUGCAGCACACCAGGCUUCCCUGUCCUUCAUCUCCCAGAGCUUGCUCAAACUCAUGUCUAUUGAGUUGGUGAUGCCAUCCAACCGUCUCAUCUCCUGUCAUCCCCUUCUCCUGCCUUCAGUCUUUCCCAGCAUCAGAGUCUUUUCCAAUGAGUUGUCUCUUUGCAUCAGGUGGCCAAAGUAUUGAAGCUUCAGCAUCAGUCCUUCCAAUGAAUAUUCAGGAUUGAUGUCCUUUAGGAUUGACUGGUUUGAUCUCCUUGCUGUCCAAGGGACUCUCAAGAGUCUUCUGCAACACCACAGUUCAAAAGCAUCAAUUCUUCGGCACUCAGUUUUAUGGUGUAACUCUCACAUCCAUAUAUGACCACUGGAAAAACCAUAGCUUUGACUAGACAGACCUUUGCUGGCAAAGUAAUGUGUCUGUGUUUUAAUAUACUGUCUGUGUUUUGUCAUAGCUUUCCUUCCAAGUGGCAAAUGUCUUUUAAUUUCAUGGCCAUAUUCAUCAUCUGCUGUGAUUUUGGAGCCCAAGGAAAUUAAGUCUGUCACUGUUCUAUUGUUUCCCCAUCUGUUUGCCAUGAAGUGAUGGGACCAGAUGCCAUGAUCUUCAUUUUUUGAAUGUUGAGUUUUAAGCCAGCUUUUUUACUCUCCUCUUUCACUUUCAUCAAGAGGCUCUUUAGUUCCUCUUCACUUUCUGCCACGAGGGUGGUGUCGUCUGCAUAUCUAAGAUUAUUGCUACUUCUCCUGGCAAUCUUGAUUCCAGCUUGUGCUUCAUCCAGCCCGGCAUUUUGUGUGAAGGACUCUGCGUAUAAGUUAAAUAAAACUGGGUGACAAUAUACAGCCUUGAUGUACUCUUUUCCCAAUUUGUAACCAGUCUGUUGUUCCAUGUCCGGUUCUAACUGCUGCUUCUUGACCUGCAUACAGGUUUCUCAGGAGGCAGGUAAAGUGAUCUGGUAUUCCCAUCUCGAAGAAUUUUCCACAGUUUGUUGUGAUUCACACCAUCAAAGGCUUUAGUGUAAUCAAUGAAGCAAAAGUACAUGUUUCUCUGGAAUUCUCUUGCUUUUUCUAUGAUCCAGUGGAUGUUGGCAAUUUGAUCUGUGGAUCCUCUGCCUUUUCUAAAUCCAGCUUGAACAUCCAAAUCCAGCCUGAACUGGAAGUUCUCAGUUCAUGUACUGUUGAAGCCUAGCUUGGAGAGUUUUGAGCAUUACUUUGCUAGCAUGUGAAAUGAGUGCAAUUUUAUGGUAGUUUGAACAUACUUUGGGGUUGGAAUGAGAAGUGACCUUUUCCAGUCCUGUAGCCACUGCUGAGUUUUCCAAAUUUGCUGACAUAUUGAGUGCAGCACUUUUCACAGCAUCAUGUUUUAGGAUUUGAAAGAGCUCAUCUGGAAUUCCAUUACCUCCACUUGCUUUGUUACUAUAUGACCCAGCAAUUCCAUUUCUAGGUAUCUAUACAAAGAAAAAAUAAAAACCUGUCUACUUAAUAUGAAUAUUCAUAACUGCAUUAUUCAUAAGAGCCAAAAGAGUACAACCCAAAUGUUAUCAACUGAUGGAUGGAUAAAUAAAAUAUGGUAUAUUCAUAACAAUGGAAUAUUAUUCAACCAUAAAGAGAAGAAAUAUGCCUACAAUAUGAAUGAACCUCAAAAACAUGCUGAGUGAAACAAGCCAGACACAAAAUAUCACACAUUCCAUUUAUAUGAAAUGUCCAGGAUAGGUUAAUCUACAAAGACAGAAAGUCAAUUAGUGGUUUCCUGGAGCUGAGAGGAAAUAGGCUGUGACUGCAAAUGGGCAUGAGGUUUAUACGUGGAAUGGUGGAAAGGUUCUAAAAGUACAUUGUGAUGAUGGCUGCACAGCUCUGUAAAUAUACCAAAAAAAAAAAAAAUCAAUUGUACACUUAA